Long non-coding RNA from Lotus japonicus, 921 nucleotides. RefSeq lists it as uncharacterized. NCBI's taxonomy places the organism in Eukaryota, Viridiplantae, Streptophyta, Magnoliopsida, Fabales, Fabaceae. The transcript is spliced from 5 exons. The record is from RefSeq and is a predicted model, not a curated record.
AGUUCUGUUGUACGCCUUCCAUUUAUUCUCUCUGCCCACUGCCUCAUUUAAUUCCUUUGUCGCUGUUGUUCACUAGAUUCAUCUCACCAUUGGAUUUGGAACUGCCGCCGAUGCUGACCGCACCGCUGCUUCCGCCUUGGAUUUGUGGCUUCGCCGCUGCGGUGCGCCUUGGCUGGGUUUAUCAUGGUGUUAGUUCUGCUCUGGACAGGCCGAAUUUGAGGGACUUUGAUUCAUUUGAACUGACGCCCAUGCUCGCAUUUUCUGGGUUAGAAUUGAAUUGAUGUUUUUUAUGCAUGUGUUUUUUUACUGUUAUGGAGUUGUCAAUCCCCAUUGAGAAAUGGCUGUUGAAAUGGUGUCUGGGCUUCCACACGUAAUGUGCAAGGAACAUGAUGCGUCAGUGUGAGAAUAGCAGCUAGAGCAUGAAAACACUUAAUUUUGGUAGUACCUGCUGGAAUUACUUCAGAAUCAGCUGCAACCACUGAGUAGCUUACAAGGUUUCGAACAACAUAUGGGAGGUGAAAGUUCUAAACCAAUGGGAAUCUAAUUUUACAUCUCAAAAAGUGAAUAGGACAUUGUAUAAGAAGCGGGAGAGGGACCUGCCUUGGUGAAAAAGCAGGAGCUUGAAGCUGCUAAGAAGAAAAGAGAGCCAAGAGUCGUAAGAUUAUCUACAACAGGACUAAGCAGUGCGCGAAGGAGUGCAAUGAGCAGAAAAUGGAAUUGAUUCCAUUGAAAUGUGAGGAAAAGCCGAAAGGUUGAUUUUAUGUAGAUCCUAAUGCUAAGCUCUCUCUUAUUUAUUAUUCGUAUCCUUGGCAUUAAUGCCAUGCAUCCUAAGACAAGGAGGAUUCUACAGCUAUUGAGAUUGAGACAAACUUUUAAUGGUGUUUUUCUUAAAGUUAAGAAAUCAACAAUGAAAAUGCUGCA